AAGUCGUAACAAGGUUUCCGUAGGUGAACCUGCGGAAGGAUCAUUACUGGGUUUCGGGGCUCGUCCCCACUCACCCGCCCUUUGUCAUAUGCGAAUCAAUACUUCGGCCCCUGUCCUCCCGGCGCCCCCGCCCGUCAGAACGGCGGGGCACCGCCUGUUGGCCGUGGGUCGGCAUUGCAAACCCUUGUGGAAUACUGAAGUCUGAUCAAAAUUUCAAACGAAAUCAAAACUUUCAACAACGGAUCUCUUGGUUCUG
This 256-nucleotide unclassified non-coding RNA is filed under the name air metagenome. RNAcentral describes it as "partial contains small subunit ribosomal RNA, internal transcribed spacer 1, and 5.8S ribosomal RNA". The stretch from base 1 to 46 matches the Rfam family "Eukaryotic small subunit ribosomal RNA", at positions 1786 to 1831 of the family's 1831-position model. The record is from RNAcentral.